Molecule: ribosomal RNA, 549 nt
Filed under: uncultured bacterium
Lineage: Bacteria
Description: partial 16S ribosomal RNA
Rfam family: Bacterial small subunit ribosomal RNA
Source: RNAcentral
UGGGGAAUUUUGGACAAUGGGCGCAAGCCUGAUCCAGCCAUGCCGCGUGCGGGAAGAAGGCCUUCGGGUUGUAAACCGCUUUUGUCAGGGAAGAAAUCUUCUGAGUUAAUACCUCGGGAGGAUGACGGUACCUGAAGAAUAAGCACCGGCUAACUACGUGCCAGCAGCCGCGGUAAUACGUAGGGUGCAAGCGUUAAUCGGAAUUACUGGGCGUAAAGCGUGCGCAGGCGGUUUUGUAAGACAGAGGUGAAAUCCCCGGGCUCAACCUGGGAACUGCCUUUGUGACUGCAAGGCUUGAGUGCGGCAGAGGGGGAUGGAAUUCCGCGUGUAGCAGUGAAAUGCGUAGAUAUGCGGAGGAACACCGAUGGCAAAGGCAAUCCCCUGGGCCUGCACUGACGCUCAUGCACGAAAGCGUGGGGAGCAAAACAGGAUUAGAUACCCUGGUAGUCCACGCCCUAAACGAUGUCAACUGGUUGUUGGGAAGGUUCCUUCUCAGUAACGUAGCUAACGCGUGAAGUUGACCGCCUGGGGAGUACGGCCGCAAGGUUG